GGCAUGCACUGCCCAUAUCAAAAAAUCUCGUGCGAAAGUUCGCGGGAUACAUAGCUUGGAAGCUUUGAACAAGUACUCGUCUUGAAGAUAAACACCAUCAAUCAAAGGUCCCUGUCCAUCAGCAAGGGCAUGAUAGAGUUUUCCAAAAUCGGGGCAAGACAAGUAAUCGUGCUUAAGUCUGUCAAAACCAGUGAUGGAAACAGACAUGGCGGACAACAGGGUUACUCGUCGACUCAGCACAUCAGCAGCUUUGUUCGCUGCACCUGACAUAUGCUUGAGAACAAAAGUGUAGUCCUGGAGAAAUUAAACCCACUUAGCAUGGCGAUGAUUAAGUUUUUUU
Molecule: long non-coding RNA, 340 nt
Filed under: Phoenix dactylifera (date palm)
Lineage: Eukaryota; Viridiplantae; Streptophyta; Magnoliopsida; Arecales; Arecaceae
Description: long non-coding RNA (PDAC_LNC005526)
Source: RNAcentral